AUUGAACGCUGGCGGCAGGCCUAACACAUGCAAGUCGAACGGCAGCGGGGGGUAGCUUGCUACUCUGCCGGCGAGUGGCGGACGGGUGAGUAAUGCCUGGGGAGCUGCCCAAUCGAGGGGGAUACCAGUUGGAAACGACUGCUAAUACCGCAUACGCCCUACGGGGGAAAGCAGGGGACCUUCGGGCCUUGCGCGAUUGGAUAUGCCCAGGUGGGAUUAGCUUGUUGGUGAGGUAAUGGCUCACCAAGGCGACGAUCCCUAGCUGGUCUGAGAGGAUGAUCAGCCACACUGGAACUGAGACACGGUCCAGACUCCUACGGGAGGCAGCAGUGGGGAAUAUUGCACAAUGGGGGAAACCCUGAUGCAGCCAUGCCGCGUGUGUGAAGAAGGCCUUCGGGUUGUAAAGCACUUUCAGCGAGGAGGAAAGGUUGGUAGCUAAUAACUGCCAACUGUGACGUUACUCGCAGAAGAAGCACCGGCUAACUCCGUG
This 490-nucleotide ribosomal RNA is filed under the name uncultured bacterium. Its description in RNAcentral is "bacterial SSU rRNA". It matches the Rfam family "Bacterial small subunit ribosomal RNA", at positions 30 to 507 of the family's 1533-position model. The record is from RNAcentral.